UACGUAGGGUGCAAGCGUUAAUCGGAAUUACUGGGCGUAAAGCGUGCGCAGGCGGUUUGUUAAGUCCGCUGUGAAAUCCCCGAGCUCAACUUGGGGAUUGCAGUGGAUACUGGCAAGCUGGAGUAUGGUAGAGGAAGGUGGAAUUCCCGGUGUAGCAGUGAAAUGCGUAGAGAUCGGGAGGAACACCAGUGGCGAAGGCGGCCUUCUGGACCAAUACUGACGCUCAUGCACGAAAGCGUGGGGAGCAAACAGG
This 253-nucleotide ribosomal RNA is filed under the name uncultured bacterium. RNAcentral's name for it is "partial 16S ribosomal RNA". It matches the Rfam family "Bacterial small subunit ribosomal RNA", at positions 524 to 776 of the family's 1533-position model. The record is from RNAcentral.